CCUACGGGUGGCUGCAGUAGGGAAUAUUGCACAAUGGGCGAAAGCCUGAUGGAGCAACGCCGCGUGAGCGAUGAAGGCCUUCGGGUCGUAAAGCUCUGUCCUCAGGGAAGAUCAUGACGGUACUUGAGGAAGAAGCCCCGGCUAACUACGUGCCAGCAGCCGAGGUAUUACGUAGGGGGCUAGCGUUCUCCGGAAUUAUGGGGGGUAAAGGGUGCGUAGGUGGUUUCUUAAGUAGGAGGUGAAAGGCUACGGCUCAACCGUAGUAUGCCUUUGAAACUGGGGAACUUGAGUGCAGGAGAGGAGAGUGGAAUUCCUAGUGUAGCGGUGAAAUGCGUAGAUAUUAGGAGGAACACCAGUGGCGAAGGCGGCUCUCUGGACUGUAACUGACACUGAGGCACGAAAGCGUGGGGAGCAAACAGGAUUAGAUACCCUUGUAGUC
Molecule: ribosomal RNA, 439 nt
Filed under: uncultured bacterium
Lineage: Bacteria
Description: partial 16S ribosomal RNA
Rfam family: Bacterial small subunit ribosomal RNA
Source: RNAcentral